UACGUAGGGUGCAAGCGUUAAUCGGAAUUACUGGGCGUAAAGCGAGCGCAGGCGGCUCCAUAAGACAGAUGUGAAAUCCCCGGGCUCAACCUGGGAAUUGCAUUUGUGACUGCGGAGCUAGAGUGUGUCAGAGGGAGGUGGAAUUCCGCGUGUAGCAGUGAAAUGCGUAGAUAUGCGGAGGAACACCGGUGGCGAAGGCGGCCUCCUGGGAUAACACUGACGCUCAUGCUCGAAAGCGUGGGGAGCAAACAGG
This 253-nucleotide ribosomal RNA is filed under the name uncultured bacterium. RNAcentral describes it as "partial 16S ribosomal RNA". It matches the Rfam family "Bacterial small subunit ribosomal RNA", at positions 524 to 776 of the family's 1533-position model. The record is from RNAcentral.